UACGAAGGGGGCUAGCGUUGCUCGGAAUUACUGGGCGUAAAGGGCGCGUAGGCGGACAGUUUAGUCAGAGGUGAAAGCCCAGGGCUCAACCUUGGAAUUCCCUUUGAUACUGACUGUCUUGAGUUCGGGAGAGGUGAGUGGAAUGCCGAGUGUAGAGGUGAAAUUCGUAGAUAUUCGGCGGAACACCAGUGGCGAAGGCGACUCACUGGCCCGAUACUGACGCUGAGGCGCGAAAGCGUGGGGAGCAAACAGG
Molecule: ribosomal RNA, 253 nt
Filed under: uncultured bacterium
Lineage: Bacteria
Description: partial 16S ribosomal RNA
Rfam family: Bacterial small subunit ribosomal RNA
Source: RNAcentral